Long non-coding RNA from Melozone crissalis (California towhee), 236 nucleotides. RefSeq lists it as uncharacterized. The record is from RefSeq and is a predicted model, not a curated record. The transcript is spliced from 3 exons. Lineage: Eukaryota; Metazoa; Chordata; Aves; Passeriformes; Passerellidae.
UGCCAUCAGCUCCAUAUCGAGCAAGGGCAUCUGGAAGCUCAUUGGGGAUGGAAACUGCUCCCUUUCACCACCCCUGCUGGCCCUCUGUGGGCAGAGAGAUGCCCUGUGACUGCUCCUGUCUGAUCACAUUCUCCACUCUCCUCACCCUGAAGCUAACAUCUCUGCACUGGCUGGAAAAAAUUGAAUUCCUUUCCCAACACAUCAAUAAGUGUCCUCAGACAGAGGUGGUUGAAAAG